Molecule: long non-coding RNA, 1961 nt
Filed under: Marmota monax (woodchuck)
Lineage: Eukaryota; Metazoa; Chordata; Mammalia; Rodentia; Sciuridae
Source: RNAcentral
GUGACGUGGGCGCGAGCUGCCGCAAAUGCGCACGCUCCGCGCGGACGUGCCCGGCGCCGCGGGCCUGGGCCCGCGCCGAGCGAGUGCACAUUCCAAGGAUCCGGGCUCUGCGGCGUCAAGGCGCAGGCCCCGCCUCUGACUCCCGCCCCGUAGUCCCCGCCCCGGGCCGAACUUGGACUGGCCAGGCGGGAGGCGCGGGCUAGCCGGGGCAUUGGCUGCCUCCCGGGUCCGCGGGCGGUGGGGCGGCCUGCUGGCCGCCUUGGCAGUCCACCGUCCCAGCCUGACCUAGCUGCAUAGGCUCAGGCCCGUCUGGCCAGCCCCCGGCUCCCUUCCGCGGUGGGCAGCGCAGGCCCUGCCCAGACUGGACUAAAUAUCGAGUUUCCCACUUUUGUCGGGAGGAGGAGCUGGUGUGUGCUGUGGGCGAUCGCUUUGGGCUGGUCGCUUUUGGUUGGACUGACACACUUCCGCUCUGUAGGGCUGCUCGGGAGCUGCUUUUGUUGGGAGCACAGCCCCACUUCUCUCUCAGACUGGAAUGAGCUGGUUAAGUGUGGGAAGAACAGGGUACUAAUUAUAUUAUCUUUCCUACAACUGGAUUGGUAGGUGGAGAGGGAGAAAAAAAAAUCCUGCUGACGUUUCUCUCCAGUUGCUGCUAUUGAAAAUGCCAGGUUGCUUCAAAGGAUUAACCACAAGAGGAAACGCGCCUGUAGAAAAACAGUGGAGGGAGCUGCUUAGAGCACAUGAAAAAACCUGUUCGAAAUGGCACAGAAAACGUAAUGCCAGACCCAGAUUGUUCACAGGCUAACCUUGAAUGUCUUCCCUUGAGGGUUUCCAGAUAAGAUAUUCCUGCUGUCAAGAACUCCCCACCUGUCCCUCGCCUUGCGAUUCCAUCUCACCCUCUCUGAGCCAGGAGAAUGGGGCCUACCGGUAUCUCUUCCCAGAAGCAGUUGGUGCCGGCAGGUUUGGGCACUCCGGGUACCUCCCUCAGGACCUGUCCUUCUGGUCACUCUCAGCUUAGAUCCUGCAACCCAUUCCAGUCUGUGACUUCACCCAUGGGGACAAAGCAAAGGGGAAGAAUCACCCACCUUUCUGCUGCAGAGACUUAAGUGCCCCCAAGAGAUUGCCCCACAAAGCAGGGACUGAAACAUAUUAAAAGAAAACACAACUCACCAUUAGAGCCAUGACCUAAUUAUACUCAUUUACCUGGGAGCAGGAACUGAACGUCCUCAAGGGAAAGCCUGCCACUCCAUCCAAAAUAGAAACACUGAGAUACAAUGUCUGCCUUGAGAGACACUAAGUAAGGAUCUCUGUGGAACAGAGCUUCUCUUCUACUGCAGAAAAGCAUUUCCUUUUUAUUGUACACUGCCAGCUUAAUGUUGAAACUGAGCUGUUGGAACUUCCCUCAAGAAAUAAAUGCCUGCUGGAAAAUGGGAAGGCUUUUUUAGUUCUGGACUCACCUGCCAUAAAAGGAUCCCCGGGCCCAAGGGGUUAAAGCAGGCCUUGGAUCCAGGGCAGCAAUUCCUUAUAUUGUAUCAAAAGUCUUUAGUGCUGCUUGGCCUUUCAUGUAGCUCUGCAGCAGCUUUAUCGAUGUAUGCUAAGUAAACAUAGCUUUGUUUUUGUCUUCCACCCACCGCCCUCCCUCUGGGCUCAGACUGGAGUUGGAUGGCAUCCAAAGCGGCUCCUGCAGCAGUUCCAGCCACCUCCUCCACACAGGAGCAGGGUUUCUAGGGUGAGGCAAUGCGUCUGCAAUUCGCAGAGACAAGGCAGGAAUUGUAAUUGUAGUUCAUCAUGUGAUGACUUAUGAAAGAGGAAGCUGGUAUGUUUUAGUCACGUAGACUCUGCCCUCUUGCUCAAGGCUCCAGGUCCUCUCAGAAGAGUUAAGAUCAUCUUUGCCACUCGGCGUCAAGGUUACUGGGUUGGCUGCAGCAUGCCCCUACACAUUCCUAAGUGGCCAGGCAGGCACA